ACCAAGGAGUCUAACAUGUGCGCGAGCCGCGGGGCAGUACGAAACCCGUAAGGCGAAAUGAAGGUGAACGCCGGCGCGGUCCGGCGGAGGUUGGAUCCCGUCCCGUCGGGGCGGGCGCUCUACCGCCCGAUCUUCUCCGCCCUGUCGGCGAGGUCGAGCGAUAGCGUGCAAGUCGGGACCCGAAAGAUGGUAAAAUAUGCCUGAGGAGGUUGAAGCCAGAGGAAACUCUGGUGGAGGACCGUAGCGAUUCUGACGUGCAAAUCGAUCGUCAAAUUUGGGUAUAGGGGCGAAAGACUAAUCGUACCGUCUAGUAGCUGGUUCCCUUCGAAGUUUCCCUCAGGAUAGCUGGCGCUCUGUCGCAGUUUUAUCUGGUAAAGCGAAUGAUUAGAGGUCUUGGGGGCGAGACGCCCUCAACGUAUUCUCAAACUUUAAAUUGGUAAGAAGCCCGACUCGCUCGUUUGGAGCCGGGCAUGGAAUGCGAGUGCCAAGUGGGCCACUCUUGGUAAGCAGGACUGGCGAUGCGGGAUGAACCGAACGCCGGGUUAAGGCGCCCGACGCGACGCUCAUCAGAGCCCACAAAAGGUGUUGGUUGAUAUAGACAGCAGGACGGUGGCCAUGGAAGUCGGAAACCGGUAAGGAGUGUGUAACAACUCACCUGCCGAAUCAAUCAGCCCUGAAAAUGGAUGGCGCUGGAGCGUCGGGCCUAUACCCGGCCGUCGCGGCGGUACGAGCAUCGAGUUGGUGCGUUAGGCCGCGACGAGUAGGAGGGCCGCGGCGGCGGGCGUAGAAGCUAGGGACGCGAGCCCGGGUGGAGCAG
Molecule: non-coding RNA, 817 nt
Organism: Ciona savignyi (Pacific transparent sea squirt)
Lineage: Eukaryota; Metazoa; Chordata; Ascidiacea; Phlebobranchia; Cionidae
Source: Rfam